This 151-nucleotide long non-coding RNA is filed under the name Neodiprion pinetum (white pine sawfly). RNAcentral describes it as "uncharacterized LOC124224904". The record is from RNAcentral. Lineage: Eukaryota; Metazoa; Arthropoda; Insecta; Hymenoptera; Diprionidae.
CUUUUGAAAUCCGUGAGUUCUAUAAAAAGUCCCUGACCAACCAAAAAAUUCCCUGACAUUUCCCUGACUAUUCCCUGACAUACAAAAUUCCCUGACAUUUCCCGGUUUUCCCGGUUUUCCAGACGGGUGGCCACCCUGAUGGGGAAGAGAU